UUUGGCCUAAUAUGUAAAUGACCUUGCUAACAUUUACUUUAUUGUGAAACUGGUUCAGGAAGUGUUUAUGUACUUUUAGAGCUUUAAUAUAGCUAAAGCUUUUAUGUUGAAAGGGUUCAGAACAGCGAGGUGUUGGAAACCGAUUGCAAUUGCUGAAAAAACAUAUGCUGCAACAGUGCGAAGCCCAUGUGCAAAGUAAGGUGUGCUACACGGACAAUAAAAAGGGGAAAACGUUAAAAUUAAGUUUUAAAACAAGCUGCCUACGGUUCUUUAGCACCUGGUUGAUGAGGGAACAAGCUCUUACGGUGUGUUUACAUACACGGCUGCUCAAUAAAAUUGUGAACCAUCAGUUUGAGAGACCAUCUUA
Molecule: long non-coding RNA, 367 nt
Organism: Melanotaenia boesemani (Boeseman's rainbowfish)
Lineage: Eukaryota; Metazoa; Chordata; Actinopteri; Atheriniformes; Melanotaeniidae
Exons: 3
Source: RefSeq, a predicted model, not a curated record